UGAGCCAAGUUUAGGGUUUUCUCAAAACCCAAGCAGUAUUGAACUGAAGAGUUUGAUCAUGGCUCAGAUUGAACGCUGGCGGCAGGCCUAACACAUGCAAGUCGAGCGGAUGAAGGGAGCUUGCUCCUGGAUUCAGCGGCGGACGGGUGAGUAAUGCCUAGGAAUC
This 166-nucleotide ribosomal RNA is filed under the name Eggerthia catenaformis. Its description in RNAcentral is "partial 16S ribosomal RNA". The stretch from base 41 to 166 matches the Rfam family "Bacterial small subunit ribosomal RNA", at positions 1 to 125 of the family's 1533-position model. Lineage: Bacteria; Bacillati; Bacillota; Erysipelotrichia; Erysipelotrichales; Coprobacillaceae. The record is from RNAcentral.